This is a non-coding RNA of Podarcis lilfordi (Lilford's wall lizard), 312 nucleotides long. NCBI's taxonomy places the organism in Eukaryota, Metazoa, Chordata, Lepidosauria, Squamata, Lacertidae. The record is from the annotation of a GenBank genome assembly.
GGAUGUGAGGGCGAUCUGGCUGCAACAUCUGUCACCCCAUUGAUCGCCAGGGUUGAUUCAGCUGAUCUGGCUGGCUAGGUGGGUGUCCCCUUCCUCCCUCACCGCUCCAUCUGCGUCCCUCCCGAAGCUGCGCGCUCGGUGGAAGAGGACGACCAUCCCAGAUAGCAGGAGUGUACCGUUCUUCCGUCAAGGGUAUACGAUAGCUGCGCUCCCCUGCUAGAACCUCCAAACAAACUGCUAGGUUGGCAGGAGCAGGGACCGAGCAACGGGAGCUCACUCCAUCGCGGGGAUUCAAACUGCCGACCUUCUGAU